Molecule: long non-coding RNA, 980 nt
Organism: Scatophagus argus
Lineage: Eukaryota; Metazoa; Chordata; Actinopteri; Scatophagidae
Exons: 3
Source: RefSeq, a predicted model, not a curated record
UUGCAAAGCUGAAGGCAGGUAAAACCAAAUAACAGCACCUACACCCCAUCUCCACUCUACAUGUGUUGCACCUGUGUUUCUCAGUCCCUGUGUAGGAGGCAGUCAAAGUGGCAGAGGUGUGUCCACAUGAUGAGCCACACCUGAUUUAGCUCCUCUUGGCUGCUGGAAGAGGGCUGGAUAUUUCAGGGUGUUUGGUGUGUUUGCAUUCAUUUAGAUUUGUUUUUCACUUUCUCAUAUUUUGUUUGCACCGCGUUUACUCACAUGCAUGUGCUUGCCGCACCACUGUGCCGAACAGCCAUUGAGAGUGGACGUAAGAAGAAUAAACGUGUGCUGCCUCAUUAGCUGAAUUUCUGCAUUGAAAAGAGCUGUCAAUCAUUUGAACACGCCUGACAGCGUAUGCAGUGGAUCAACUGGGUUCACGUAAUCACCUCACCAUUAAUGGGUGUUAGCUUCCAGUUACGUCGAACUGUGGCAUCACUACGCAGGGAGAAGUUGAGUCGUCCUCCAUGCUGUGGCCCGUCACUGUCUCGUGAGGCCAGCACCAGAGCUUGGUCCUCCCAGCGAGGCGUACACAGGUACUUCCAGGAAUAGUCUCCAACCAGCACUGGACUGUUGUCAUUGACAUCCAGUAUUUGGACUGUCACCAAGGUGGACGCGGAUAAGGAGGAGUUUCCUAAGAGGAACACAAGAAACAAAUACACUAGGAGAUGAAAUGUUGCAGCUUCGUUGCUUCAUUCUGCUCAUAAAACCUUCUUUACUGGUGGUUUUCUGUCCCCUUGCAUACUGCUUUCUCUCCAUUCAUCCUGUUAGCUCUUUGCCUCUUCUUCCACAUCUGUAUUCAUAACACUCUGUUUAUCACAUGUAUGGACUCACAGCUUGUGUACACCUUUUUCCUGUGUUCUGUUAAUUAUCAGCAGGAUGUGCAAAGCAAUCUAUGAGAUGGAAAGCAAAACAAAUUGGCUCUGAUGACCUCACAUUUA